RNAcentral lists this ribosomal RNA (274 nucleotides) under uncultured bacterium. RNAcentral's name for it is "partial 16S ribosomal RNA". It matches the Rfam family "Bacterial small subunit ribosomal RNA", at positions 523 to 796 of the family's 1533-position model. The record is from RNAcentral.
AUACGGAGGGGGCUAGCGUUGUUCGGAUUUACUGGGCGUAAAGCGCACGUAGGCGGAUUGAUUAGUUAGGGGUGAAAUCCCGAGGCUCAACCUCGGAACUGCCUUUAAUACUGUCAAUCUCGAGACCGGAAGAGGUGAGUGGAACUCCUAGUGUAGAGGUGGAAUUCGUAGAUAUUAGGAAGAACACCAGUGGCGAAGGCGGCUCACUGGUCCGGUACUGACGCUGAGGUGCGAAAGCGUGGGGAGCGAACAGGAUUAGAUACCCUAGUAGUCC